UACGUAGGUGGCAAGCGUUGUCCGGAAUUAUUGGGCGUAAAGAGCUCGUAGGCGGUCUGUUGCGUCCGCUGUGAAAACCCGGGGCUUAACCCUGGGCUGGCAGUGGAUACGGACAGACUAGAGGUAGGUAGGGGAGAAUGGAAUUCCCGGUGUAGCGGUGAAAUGCGCAGAUAUCGGGAGGAACACCGGUGGCGAAGGCGGUUCUCUGGGCCUUACCUGACGCUGAGGAGCGAAAGCGUGGGGAGCGAACAGG
Molecule: ribosomal RNA, 253 nt
Filed under: uncultured bacterium
Lineage: Bacteria
Description: partial 16S ribosomal RNA
Rfam family: Bacterial small subunit ribosomal RNA
Source: RNAcentral